This 843-nucleotide ribosomal RNA is filed under the name uncultured bacterium. Its description in RNAcentral is "bacterial SSU rRNA". It matches the Rfam family "Bacterial small subunit ribosomal RNA", at positions 57 to 896 of the family's 1533-position model. The record is from RNAcentral.
GCAGUCGAACGGCAGCACAGAGGAGCUUGCUCCUUGGGUGGCGAGUGGCGGACGGGUGAGGAAUACAUCGGAAUCUACUUUUUCGUGGGGGAUAACGUAGGGAAACUUACGCUAAUACCGCAUACGCCCUACGGGGGAAAGCCGGGGACCUUCGGGCCUGGCGCGGAUAAAUGAGCCGAUGUCUGAUUAGCUAGUUGGUAGGGUAAAGGCCUACCAAGGCGACGAUCAGUAGCUGGUCUGAGAGGACGACCAGCCACACUGGGACUGAGACACGGCCCAGACUCCUACGGGAGGCAGCAGUGGGGAAUUUUGGACAAUGGGCGCAAGCCUGAUCCAGCAAUGCCGCGUGAGUGAAGAAGGCCUUCGGGUUGUAAAGCUCUUUUGUCAGGGAAGAAACGGGAUUGGAUAAUACCUAGUCCUAAUGACGGUACCUGAAGAAUAAGCACCGGCUAACUACGUGCCAGCAGCCGCGGUAAUACGUAGGGUGCAAGCGUUAAUCGGAAUUACUGGGCGUAAAGCGUGCGCAGGCGGUUUUGUAAGUCUGACGUGAAAGCCCCGGGCUCAACCUGGGAAUUGCGUUGGAGACUGCAAGGCUUGAAUCUGGCAGAGGGGGGUAGAAUUCCACGUGUAGCAGUGAAAUGCGUAGAGAUGUGGAGGAACACCGAUGGCGAAGGCAGCCCCCUGGGUCAAGAUUGACGCUCAUGCACGAAAGCGUGGGGAGCAAACAGGAUUAAUACCCUGGUAGUCCACGCCCUAAACGAUGUCUACUAUUGUCGGGUUUUAAUUAACUUGGUAACGCACUAACGCGUGAAGUAACCGCCUGGGGAGUACGGUCCAAGAUUA